Small nuclear RNA from Mesocricetus auratus (golden hamster), 138 nucleotides. Its record names the gene U4. It matches the Rfam family "U4 spliceosomal RNA". From Rfam's summary of the family: U4 small nuclear RNA (U4 snRNA) is a component of the major U2-dependent spliceosome. The structure of U4 snRNA from yeast and human has been reported. The record is from Ensembl. Lineage: Eukaryota; Metazoa; Chordata; Mammalia; Rodentia; Cricetidae.
UACUUUGCACAGUGGCAGUAUCAUAGCCAAUGAGGUUAUCCGAGGAAAGAUUAUUGCUAAUUGAAAACUUUUCCCAAUACCCUGCCAUGAUGAUUUGAAAUAGUCUGCACUGGCAAUUUUUGAUAGUCUCUAUGGAGA